This 400-nucleotide ribosomal RNA is filed under the name phytoplankton environmental sample. RNAcentral's name for it is "partial small subunit ribosomal RNA". It matches the Rfam family "Eukaryotic small subunit ribosomal RNA", at positions 587 to 992 of the family's 1831-position model. The record is from RNAcentral.
AGCUCCAAUAGCGUAUAUUAAAGUUGUUGCAGUUAAAAAGCUCGUAGUUGGAUUUGUGGUUGUCUCGGUCUGUCCUUCACUUAGUGUUGGAUUAGAAGGAGUCGCCAUCCUUGGGUGGAUCCUGUGUGGCAUUAGGUUGUCGUGCAGGGGAUGCCCAUCUUUUACUGUGAAAAAAUUAGAGUGUUCAAAGCAGGCUUAUGCCGUUGAAUAUAUUAGCAUGGAAUAAUAAGAUAGGACCUUGGUACUAUUUUGUUGGUUUGCGCACCAAGGUAAUGAUUAAUAGGGACAGUUGGGGGUAUUCGUAUUCCAUUGUCAGAGGUGAAAUUCUUGGAUUUCUGGAAGACGAACUACUGCGAAAGCAUUUACCAAGGAUGUUUUCAUUAAUCAAGAACGAAAGUAG